Molecule: ribosomal RNA, 482 nt
Filed under: uncultured bacterium
Lineage: Bacteria
Description: partial 16S ribosomal RNA
Rfam family: Bacterial small subunit ribosomal RNA
Source: RNAcentral
AUUGAACGCUGGCGGCAUGCUUUACACAUGCAAGUCGAACGGUAACAGGCCGCAAGGUGCUGACGAGCGGCGAACGGGUGAGUAAUGCAUCGGAACGUGCCCAGUCGUGGGGGAUAACUACUCGAAAGAGUAGCUAAUACCGCAUACGAUCUAUGGAUGAAAGCGGGGGACCGUAAGGCCUCGCGCGAUUGGAGCGGCCGAUGUCAGAUUAGGUAGUUGGGGGGGUAAAGGCUCACCAAGCCAACGAUCUGUAGCUGGUCUGAGAGGACGACCAGCCACACUGGGACUGAGACACGGCCCAGACUCCUACGGGAGGCAGCAGUGGGGAAUUUUGGACAAUGGGCGCAAGCCUGAUCCAGCAAUGCCGCGUGCAGGAAGAAGGCCUUCGGGUUGUAAACUGCUUUUGUACGGAACGAAACGGCUCUGGUUAAUACCCGGGGCUAAUGACGGUACCGUAAGAAUAAGCACCGGCUAACUACGUG